Non-coding RNA from Paramormyrops kingsleyae, 3831 nucleotides. The record is from RefSeq and is a predicted model, not a curated record. Lineage: Eukaryota; Metazoa; Chordata; Actinopteri; Osteoglossiformes; Mormyridae.
CCCUGAUGUCCGGUCCAGUUACGUCUCACACAGGUCCGGUUACGUUGAAAGUCGGGAUGUGUCAUCAGGAAACCAUUAGAUUUUUAGUCAAUUUCGUCUCUGAGGGAUCCGAUCAUUUUAGGGUUCCCCUGGUUAAGGGAACAUGAUCCUAGGAUAGGGUGGAAAACCAGAGAAAUCCUAACGUGGUCCCCGAACCUUUUCAAUUCCUGCCUGUCUCUCCCAUGUCGAGUAUCCUCCUUAGAAAGGCCACUUCCGGAGGACCUCACAGUGAUCCCUGAAGAAUAUCACCGCUUUCAAAAGGUCUUCAGUAAAGCGGAAGUCUAUGGCCUUCCACCACACCGACCAUCUGACUGUGCUAUCGAGCUCCUGGAAGGAGCCACUCUACCCCGAAGCCGGCUCUAUGCCCUGUCCCGAUCAGAAGAGGAGGCAAUGCGGACCUCCAUCUCUGAGGCACUGGAGCAAGCAUUGGAGCAGCUUCGACAAGCCAAAAUCUUUUCCAAACUCGAUUUGCGAAGCACCUACAAUCUCAUUCGAAUCGGAGAGGGAGAUGAAUGGAAGACAUCUUUCCUAACUACUGGUCAGUAUGAAUAUCUCGUUAUGCCAUAUGGUUUGGCUAACAGUCCGUCUAUCUUCCAGGCUUUCAUCAACAGCAUCUUCCAUGACAUGCUGAAUAGGUUUGUCAUCACCUACAUAGACAACAUCCUAAUUUACUCUGACAGUUCCACUCAACACGUGGAACACAUUCAGCAAGUUCUUCAAUGAUUAGCCGAUCACCACCUUUACAUCAAGGGAGAGAAGUGUGAGUUUCAUCGUACGUCUAUUCAAUUUUUGGGUUACCACAUCCGGCCAGGAGAGGUGGCUAUGGACCCAGGUAAGAUCAGGGCUGUCCUUGAGUGUCCUCGACCUAGUACUGUAAAAGAGAUUCAGAGAUUCCUUUUGUUCACCCAUUUCUAUCGUCGCUUCAUUCGGGGUUUUAGUGCAGUAGCAGGGCCUCUAACUAACCUUCUUAGAGGAGGAAUAAAGAAACUUAUCUGGUCCGAGGCAGUGUCGCAUGCCUUCACCGAAUUAAAAGGGAGAUUCUGCACAGCUCCAGUAUUAUGACAGCACGAUCCAGAAGAGCCCUUCAUUAUCGAAGUGGACACCUCCGAAGUCGGAAUCGGAGCUGUGCUUUCACAGAAAGAUGCUAAGUCAGGUAAAAUUCACCCCUGUGCAUUUCUGUCCAAGAAACAUUCCCCUGCCGAGUGUAAUUAUGAUGUUGGAAAUCGUGAAUUGUUAGCCAUAAAAGAUGCCUUAGAGGAGUGGAGACAUUGGCUAGAGGGAGCUAAACACCCAUUCCAGGUGCUCACGAACCAUCGUAACCUACAAUAUCUGCAAUCCACUAAGCAUCUUAAUCCCCGUCAAGCCAGAUGGGCUCUGUUUUUUACCCGGUUUAAUUUUCAGGUGUCCUUUAUCCCUGGAACAAAGAACGUGAAGGCGGAUGCGCUCUCCCAUUGCUUUCCUCAUCAAAGGGUAUCCGAAGAUCCGACUCCAAUCCUGUUUCCCACCUGCUUCGUCGGCCCUAUUCAGUGGGAAAUGGAGCGUCAACUCCAACAGCACAACAUGGGACAUGCCCCACCAUCUGACUGCCCACCGGGACACACGUUACCAUCUCGCUAGAGCUCGGUGAGCUGCUCUUCCAAGUGGGUAUUCCGCUACAACAGCUUGCCCGAGGACAUGUCAGAAUGAGGACCCCAGUUCACCUCACAAGCAUUCCGGGCUCUGUGUACCUAAAUGAACAUCAGGUCUGCUGCCUCAGGUUUUAUGAAGAAGCCACUUCUGUCCAAGAACAACAUCAGGAACAGACUGAUAUUCUGCAAAAGGUACAGGGAUUGGACCACUGAGGACUGGGGUAAAGUAAUUUUCUUUGAUGAAUCCCCUUUCCAAUUGUUUGGGGCAUCCAGAAAAAAUAUUGUCCUGAGUAGAAAAGGUGAGCGCUACCAUCAGUCCUGUGUAAUGCCAACAGUAAAGCAUCCUGAGACCAUUCAUGUGUGGAGUUGUUUCUCAGCCAAGGGAAUGGGCUCACUCACAAUUUUGCCUAAGAACACAGCCAUGAAUAAAGAAUGGUAUCAAAACAUUCUCUGAGACCAACUUCUCCCAACCAUCCAAGAGCAGUUUGGUGACUAACAAUACAUUUUCCAGCAUGAUGGAGCACCGUGCCAUAAAGCAAAAGUGAUAACUAAGUGGCCAGAGGAACAAAACAAACUCCUAGCAUUGGUUAUGCAAGAAUAUUCUGCCAUCAGUCAUUUGGCCCAGAAGUUGAUUGACAGCAUGCCAGGGUGAAUUGAAAAAGUCUUGAAAAAGAAGGGCCACCACUGCAAAUAUUGACUCUUUGCAUAAACUUAAUUGUCAAUAAAAACCUUUGACACUUGAAAUGCUUGUAAUUAUACUUCAGUAAACCAAAACAAAAAAGAUAUACAAACAGUGAAAAAGCAAAUUUUGUGAAAUCCAAUACUUGUGUAAUUCUCAAUACUUUUGGCCAUGACUAUAGACUCUUGAAAGUGGCAGACUGAAAAGCACCAAACUCUUACAAUUUUUUAAAGGAUUUAGAGCUAUUUGAUGUGUGGAGGACCUUAAACCCUAGAGGUAAAGAUAAAACUUUUUCCCAGCCCCGUAAAUCAUUUUUCAAGUUUCUAGAGAAAUUGCCGAUUGGUUACUAAGUACAUAAUUGGUUUAUAAUCCUUUUCUAGUCAGUCUCACUUCCUCCCUGUCCUACAUUCAAGAAAGGCAAUUUGGUUACUCCAAUUAGAGUCAGUAUGUUUUUAGACUGGGAGGGGGGAAACCUGAAGAAAACCUCAUGAUGACAUAGGGAGAACAUGCAAACUCAACAUAAAUGGAAUCCUUGUAGGGAUUUGAACCCAAGUCCUAGAGGUGAGUAUGCUAACUACUGCACCACUCUUGUUAUUUCAUCCAGAAGAGCAUUUGUGAGGUCAGGCACUGAUUGUGGAUGUGAAACUCACCCAACCAGGUCUUUAUGGACCUUGCUUUGUACACUGGGGCACAGUCAUGCUGGAAGAGAAAAGGACCUUCUCCAAACUGUUCCCACAAAGAUGGACGCAUAGGAUUGUCGAAAAUGUCUUAAUAUGCAAAAAAAAUUCUUGAUAUUUCUUGAUUGUACACAAUUUGCCACCUCUUCCCUGUUCCUGUUCAUGGGCAAUGCUAUGGGAACUGUAAGCAAAAAUGGAGCACUGAAGUAAAGAAAUAAUUACAUGAAUUAUAUUGCAAUAAUCAUGAAAGAACAGCAUCAUGAUAAAAUAUUUUGCCCUAUUGUCCAGCAUUAACCCUAACAACCCCACUUCCAAAAAUCCAAACUAUCCCUGAUUUAGAACCCGACUGACUGGCUUCAAAAAUCUUCCCAAGGCAGUAAAAUGUUUUUUCAGUGUUAGCAUCCAUUAAUAUCAGGUUUCAUAUAGAUAUUAUGGAUAUUGUUAAAAUCCCUGCUGUCUUUUGUGAAUGUCUAUUUAUUUGUUAUCGUUCUGUUUCACAGAUGCUGUUGUACAUCACCAUCCAGGUUCCAAAAAAAUCAGACGUAAAAUCAAUCAGCACAAGAACUUGUGAGUUGAGGCAUCACGUGAAGCAAAACAGCAGCAUGGACAAAGUUAAAUCGAAUAAGACUGUUCUUCAUUGUCCUCACGGGUUCUACGGCUUGUUUUAUCCAGUGAAGAAACAAGGGUAACGGACUGUUCUUUUGGGGCCUUUUUUCCUUUUCUUUUCGUGUUUUGGACCUCUAGCUCAUGUUUAAAGUUUGACAACUGAAGGCCAAAUCAGUAAUAAGUUUGACAACAUGGUUUUGAG